Amaranthus tricolor (Joseph's coat) is the source of this 1286-nucleotide long non-coding RNA. RefSeq lists it as uncharacterized. The record is from RefSeq and is a predicted model, not a curated record. NCBI's taxonomy places the organism in Eukaryota, Viridiplantae, Streptophyta, Magnoliopsida, Caryophyllales, Amaranthaceae. The transcript is spliced from 3 exons.
UACUUUUCAUUCUGGUCCAUAAACUAAACCCUUGUUUUUUUUAGUCACUCAAAAGAACCAAGCACCAUUCUCCAUCUUCGAACUUAAGACCAAAAAGAAAUCUGAAUAAGUACUCCUUCUCCUGAUAUUCGAAAAUUAGGGCAAUACUAAACUACCAUCAUCUUCUACCUUGAGUUCUCACAAGAUCCAUUGCAAGCUCUCCUCUCUUACCGCCAUUUUCGGAUGAACCAAGACACUCCAUGAAUGUUCUAUUCUUCUUGAUUGAUUAUUGGUGUGAACAAAAUUAAGGUGUAACGAAUUUUCUCCCAUCUUUUGCGGUCUUGGUUUCAUAUAAGGGUUUGGAGGGGGUCAAAAAUUCACGGGUGUUACAUUAAGGAGAAAUUAUAAAGCAGCAGCCGAAAACCCCCUCCCAUGACCUGAAUUCUGCCGAAAUGGGGGAAAAUUGAGUGAGGUUUGGUCCUGUUGAUUAAGCAUCAAGAUUCAAGCCGGAAAUCAAUUUUUGAAUCUGAUUUUUUUGUUCGUUCCUUGCUGCUGUCAAACAGAAGAUUGUUUACAGGUCGAAACCGGUCGGGAACGAUGGGUUAGCGGUGAUGAUUAGAGUUACAUGGAUGUUAUAUUGAGCUGAGUACGUGAGAAGUUGUAGUAUUGUAUUAGGUUUUUGGUAAAUGUAUAAUAGACUUGGUUGUGUUGGUUAUAUUGGACUUUUAGAAUGACUUUUAUGAUUACUUUGUAUUUUAGUUAGAUGUUUGGUUUGAGAAUUAGCUGAGUUGGUUACGUUAAAGAACUAGUAACUACUUUGCUCAAGUUUUGAAAUUAUGAUUUGAAUUUCUUGGGAAACAGAUCCGUGAUGACUAGUUACUUAGUCAACGGUAAGUCGGGUUGUUACGGUUACUCUUAUGCUACACUUAUUUACCCUAUAAACAAAAUAAAUAAGCCUAGCUAACGUGCUGCUAGUGUAAAUUACAUAUUACGGAUCUCUAAACCAUCACUUAAAGUUUUUGGUUGAAUUAAUUUCUUGACAUAGUAUAUUAGUAUUAGAUCGUUAACGUGACAGAAUCACAUAAUGAUCAUGGUCUGGUACAAAUUUUGCUAUCUCUCAUUUCAUGUGGAAUAUUAAAUUCGUCUGGGUACGAUGAGAACAUUUAUUGUUACUUCCGCACUUCUAACCCACAUGACUUUUGUGUGACAAUAUGAAGAGACGUAAUAGACUACAUAUAGCAUAUAUUGAUUUUAAACUGUCAAAUAAACUUUUUAAUUAAAUUGAUUACUUCAUAUGUGGUCCUAAA